GAUGAACGCUAGCUACAGGCUUAACACAUGCAAGUCGAGGGGAAACGGCAUUUAGUGCUUGCACUGAAUGGACGUCGACCGGCGCACGGGUGAGUAACGCGUAUCCAACCUACCCAUUACUGUGGGAUAACCUGCCGAAAGGCAGACUAAUACCGCAUGGUCUUCGAUGACGGCAUCAGAUUUGAAGUAAAGAUUUAUCGGUAAUGGAUGGGGAUGCGUCUGAUUAGCUUGUUGGCGGGGUAACGGCCCACCAAGGCAACGAUCAGUAGGGGUUCUGAGAGGAAGGUCCCCCACAUUGGAACUGAGACACGGUCCAAACUCCUACGGGAGGCAGCAGUGAGGAAUAUUGGUCAAUGGACGAGAGUCUGAACCAGCCAAGUAGCGUGCAGGAUGACGGCCCUAUGGGUUGUAAACUGCUUUUGUAUGGGGAUAAAGUCAAUCACGUGUGAUUGUUUGCAGGUACCAUACGAAUAAGGACCGGCUAAUUCCGUGCCAGCAGCCGCGGGUAAUACGGAAGGUUCGGGCGUUAUCCGGAUUUAUUGGGUUUAAAGGGAGCGUAGGCCGGAAAUUAAGUGUGUUGUAAAAUGUAGACGCUCAACGUCUGACUUUGCAACGCAACUGGUUUCCUU
Molecule: ribosomal RNA, 629 nt
Filed under: Prevotella melaninogenica
Lineage: Bacteria; Pseudomonadati; Bacteroidota; Bacteroidia; Bacteroidales; Prevotellaceae
Description: bacterial SSU rRNA
Rfam family: Bacterial small subunit ribosomal RNA
Source: RNAcentral